CCUACGGGGGGCAGCAGUGGGGAAUAUUGCGCAAUGGGCGAAAGCCUGACGCAGCGACGCCGCGUGAGGGAUGAAGGUCUUCGGAUCGUAAACCUCUGUCAGCAGGGAAGAACGGUCACUGUGCUAAUCAGCAGUGAAUUGACGGUACCUGCAAAGGAAGCACCGGCUAACUCCGUGCCAGCAGCCGCGGUAAUACGGAGGGUGCGAGCGUUAAUCGGAAUUACUGGGCGUAAAGCGCUCGUCGGCGGUAUGUCAAGUCAAGGGUGAAAGCCCCGCGCUCAACGUGGGAACUGCCUUUGAAACUGGAGAACUGGAGUGUGUGAGAGGAUAGUGGAAUUCCAGGUGUAGGAGUGAAAUCCGUAGAUAUCUGGAGGAACAUCAGUGGCGAAGGCGACUAUCUGGCACAUAACUGACGCUGAGGAGCGAAAGCGUGGGUAGCAAACAGGAUUAGAUACCCGUGUAGUC
This 465-nucleotide ribosomal RNA is filed under the name uncultured bacterium. RNAcentral describes it as "partial 16S ribosomal RNA". It matches the Rfam family "Bacterial small subunit ribosomal RNA", at positions 338 to 795 of the family's 1533-position model. The record is from RNAcentral.